RNAcentral lists this ribosomal RNA (489 nucleotides) under Triticum aestivum (bread wheat). RNAcentral describes it as "partial small subunit ribosomal RNA". The record is from RNAcentral. Lineage: Eukaryota; Viridiplantae; Streptophyta; Magnoliopsida; Poales; Poaceae.
AUGGCGGACGUCGAGUACCGCUGCUUCGUCGGCGGCCUCGCCUGGGCCACCGACGACCAGUCCCUCCAGAACGCCUUCUCCAAGUACGGCGACGUCAUCGACUCCAAGAUCAUCACUGACAGGGAGACGGGCCGUUCCCGCGGGUUCGGGUUCGUCACCUUCGCGUCGGACGAGGCGAUGCGCCAGGCGAUCGAGGCCAUGAACGGCCAGGACCUGGACGGCCGCAACAUCACCGUCAACGAGGCCCAGUCCCGCCGCUCCGGCGGAGGCGGCGGCGGCUUCAGCGGCGGAGGCGGUGGCGGCUACGGCGGCCAGCGCCGCGAGGGCGGCGGCGGCGGCUACGGCGGCGGCGGCGGUGGCUACGGAGGUGGCCGCAGCGGCGGCGGCGGUGGCUACGGCAGCCGUGAGGGCGGCGGCGGCUACGGCGGCGGCGGCGGCGGCUACGGCGGCAGCCGCGGCGGCUCCGGCGGCGGCAACUGGAGGGAGUGA